CAGUAAUGAACAAACGGCAUGACCUUAAUCAGGGAGCCCGAACCACUCACUGGCGGAAAGCAUGUGUGCCUGUGUAUGAUGGCAGAUUAAAUCCACGGCAGGAAACAGUGAUAAUGCCCAGUGUAGAGCCCUGUGAGCUACGACAGCUAAGUUUCCCAUAUCUGGCAAGCUGAAAAAGUACAGUAUUUUCCUGAGAGAAGUAAAGGUCCUGUUCUCCAGUCCCUUAGUUGCUCUGAAGCCUUUCCAACUCUUCAACUGCAGCCAGAGAGCUGAACAUUCAGCAGCAAGCAAGAACAUUCAGCAGCAAGCAAAGAGAAGUUGUUGCCAGAUGGAGAAGUAUGACUAACUCUCUUGACUGGCCUAACAGACAGUCCUGAAGCCCUGGCAAAUGACUCAGUGCCAAAAAGAUUUCUAAUAGUACUGCAUGCGCUUGGCCCAUCCCUCACUACCUGGAAACAGUUGGUGACCAAAGCUUUGGGACAUCACAGCGUUUAUGCAACAUAGAGCUGCAAAAACAUACAGAUUGUCAGCUCCAGAAAUAUGUUUAUCCUCUCUGCCAUAUUCAACGAUAUGCAAAGAGAGGUAAGCAGAUUUAUGGUGCUGAGCUACGAACCAGUUGUGGCCCAGCUGAAGAGACUGUUGAACUUGUACAAUGCAGAGGGUACAGGCUAGGUGGGUUGUGCCAUCUGCUUAGAAAGAAAAGGCAAAGGAGAGUUUUAACAGCUGUUUGUUGAGUCAGAUACUCAUCCCUGAUCGUUUGUGCCACAGUGGCAGAUAACUGCCAAAGAAAUGCAUCCCCUGUAGCUUAAUAGACCUGACCUGUAUGUUAUAAAGUUGCACCUGCUGGAAACAAGCCUUAUGAUGUAGUGCUCAUAAAAUGCCAGUGAUCCUACUAGAGAAAUGUCCUGAAAUCAGCAUGUUGGAUUUAUCCCUGUUUCUCUCUGUAGCUGGUAGUGCUGUAGCAGGAGACAGCAGGAUAUAUCCCUGCAAAUUCUACAAGGUGAUUACAUGAGCCUGAGCACUCUGUUCCAUGUUACAUUCACGUUUUCCCUGACUAUGCUCAGUUUGCUGGGUAUGACAUACUGCAUGUUAGUCGCUCCUAGUCUGCAUGAGUCAUAUGUUGAAGCGUGAAAGCAAGGCUGCAUCUCUGUCGUUGUUAUUCAUUGCUCAGUUGCUGCCGUACCACAUAGCUCAAGCCAGUUGAGCUCACCUUGUUUAUAAGGGUGAAGUUUGAAUAUAAACCUGCUCCCAGCUACUGCCUGGCCCCUUUAAAUGUGAUGCAGAAUGUAGCCCAACAUUUGGGAAUGUGACUGCCAUAUGUGUUUGGGUUUGGGCUCUGAGUUAAGAACCUCCAGAUGUUCUUCUGAGGGGAUCAUAAAGUGUCCAGAAAACCUACAGGCAUCUUGAAAUGUUAUUUUAAAAAUGGAAAGAAUUUAAGGCGUCUCAUAGAGUAAGCACACCUGUAGAAGCAGGUGGCUAAAGUGUGUUCUUUGUCUUCCUCAUAUAGCUGACGGUGCAAGAUUACACGUUAUUAUGUAAAAGCCUUUGAUGGGUUGCUUAGACAGAUGAACCAAGAUUGGUUUCACACUUUCAAAGUCUGAGAAGUGCUAGUGCACUCAUAUCAUGGACAUCAUUUCUCAGACAUGAAACAUCCCCUGUAGACUCGCUGAGGUGUUUUCAUUGAUAAGAGGAUAGAUCUGCAGUCUGUAGAUCAUUGAGCGCCAACAAGUUGCAGGAUCGCUUGUGGCUGCAGGCAUGAAGCUGCUGUCUGUUGCAGCUGUGGUCAUUGGACAGAGCCAUUUGUUGUCUGUGAUACAGAAGAUGUGUUCCAGUCAGGUGACAGUUAGUGCUUCGGAUUAAAUCUGUUUAACAAAGGAUACAAAGCAGAGUACAGUUGUAUUAUACCUGUCAUUUGUAAGUGUCCAGUGAUCCUCCAACAUUAUAUGAUUCACGAAGCUGAAAGCAAUGAUUUACGUAAAAAAUUACUAAUGCUCAUUCUGCCUGCAGAACCCCUUAAUUCCCGUUACACAUGUCAGCAUAUUAUGACUGGGAGCUGUCAAAUUCUAAUGACUAAAAUUUCAUUUUUCUGUCUUUUCAUGCUGUGUUUGAGAACUAUAGGUUGGAAAUAAUUCCCUAGCUAAAUUUCUUCUUCAAAUGGUAAACUCAACCGUUUGCUCUCACUCUCUCUCUCUUUCUCUCUG
This is a non-coding RNA of Struthio camelus australis, 2201 nucleotides long. Lineage: Eukaryota; Metazoa; Chordata; Aves; Struthioniformes; Struthionidae. The record is from RefSeq and is a predicted model, not a curated record.